RNAcentral lists this transfer RNA (69 nucleotides) under Allobates juanii. RNAcentral describes it as "tRNA-Val". It matches the Rfam family "tRNA". From Rfam's summary of the family: Transfer RNA (tRNA) molecules are approximately 80 nucleotides in length. Their secondary structure includes four short double-helical elements and three loops (D, anti-codon, and T loops). Further hydrogen bonds mediate the characteristic L-shaped molecular structure. tRNAs have two regions of fundamental functional importance: the anti-codon, which is responsible for specific mRNA codon recognition, and the 3' end, to which the tRNAs corresponding amino acid is attached (by aminoacyl-tRNA synthetases). tRNAs cope with the degeneracy of the genetic code in two manners: having more than one tRNA (with a specific anti-codon) for a particular amino acid; and 'wobble' base-pairing, i.e. permitting non-standard base-pairing at the 3rd anti-codon position. The record is from RNAcentral. Lineage: Eukaryota; Metazoa; Chordata; Amphibia; Anura; Aromobatidae.
CAGAGUAUAGCUUAACCAAAGCACUUCGCUUACACCGAAACCAUGUCUGUGAAAAUCAAACUAUUCUGA